CUCUUAUCCAGAGAGGUGGAGGGACCGGCCCUGUGAAACCUCGGCAACCUAGCAGCGAAAACGCUAAUUGUUCCAAGCAAAUCGCUUUCAAGGUGCCAACUCCGGCAGAGGUAUUUUCUGGAAGAUGAGAG
This is a non-coding RNA of Chloroflexi bacterium RBG_13_50_21, 131 nucleotides long. Lineage: Bacteria; Bacillati; Chloroflexota. The record is from Rfam.